GCAUCGUUAGCUCUGUUGGUGAUUGAAUUUACUACCUUCAUAUUUGGACUAACAAUGUUCGCUCCUUUCGUGUCUCUUACGUCUAUCACCGGACACGGAUUCGCUACAAUCAUUUUAAAAUUCGUCGUGAUCGACAGUUUACGUUGUGACUGGUUCUGGCCUGUCUUCUAUUUCUGUUCUGUGGUGCCAUUCACCCUGGACAUAACCACUGCUCUCAUAAAUCUAUGUUCUAGCUUAAAAUACGCCAAUAAAUUCCCUUUUCUAAAUAGAUUACAAUAGUA
This is a long non-coding RNA of Melitaea cinxia (Glanville fritillary), 281 nucleotides long. RefSeq lists it as uncharacterized. The record is from RefSeq and is a predicted model, not a curated record. The transcript has 2 exons. NCBI's taxonomy places the organism in Eukaryota, Metazoa, Arthropoda, Insecta, Lepidoptera, Nymphalidae.